This 358-nucleotide unclassified non-coding RNA is filed under the name soil metagenome. RNAcentral describes it as "partial contains 5.8S ribosomal RNA, internal transcribed spacer 2, and large subunit ribosomal RNA". The stretch from base 1 to 121 matches the Rfam family "5.8S ribosomal RNA", at positions 35 to 154 of the family's 154-position model. The record is from RNAcentral.
GAUGAAGAACGCAGCGAAUUGCGAUAAGUAAUGUGAAUUGCAGAUUUUCAGUGAAUCAUCGAAUCUUUGAACGCACAUUGCGCCCGCUGGUAUUCCGGCGGGCAUGCCUGUUCGAGCGUCAUUUCAACCCUCAAGCUCUCCGGAGUUUGGUGUUGGGGCGCCUGGGGCUUUUCGACCUCAGGGCCCUCAAGUCCAUCGGCGGGACCGCCAGGACACUGAGCGCAGUAGUAUUAUUUCGCUCGGUAGGAUCUUCCACGGCGGGUCGAUCUGGCCGCUAAACCCCCCAAUUCUCACCAAAGGUUGACCUCGGAUCAGGUAGGAAUACCCGCUGAACUUAAGCAUAUCAAUAAGCGGAGGA